GACGUCAAAUCAUCAUGCCCCUUAGGCUUAGGGCUACACACGUGCUACAAUGGGUAGUACAGAGGGUUGCCAAGCCGUAAGGUGGAGCUAAUCCCUUAAAGCUACUCUCAGUUCGGAUUGUAGGCUGAAACUCGCCUACAUGAAGCUGGAGUUACUAGUAAUCGCAGAUCAGAAUGCUGCGGUGAAUGCGUUCCCGGGUCUUGUACACAC
RNAcentral lists this ribosomal RNA (210 nucleotides) under Clostridioides difficile. Its description in RNAcentral is "partial 16S ribosomal RNA". It matches the Rfam family "Bacterial small subunit ribosomal RNA", at positions 1181 to 1390 of the family's 1533-position model. The record is from RNAcentral. Lineage: Bacteria; Bacillati; Bacillota; Clostridia; Peptostreptococcales; Peptostreptococcaceae.